GACGAACGCUGGCGGCGUGCUUAACACAUGCAAGUCGAACGGAAAGGCCCUGCUUUUGUGGGGUGCUCGAGUGGCGAACGGGUGAGUAACACGUGAGUAACCUGCCCUUGACUUUGGGAUAACUUCAGGAAAAUGGGGCUAAUACCGGAUAGGAGCUCCUGCUGCACGGUGGGGGUUGGAAAGUUUCGGCGGUUGGGGAUGGACUCGCGGCUUAUCAGCUUGUUGGUGGGGUAGUGGCUUAACAAGGCUUUGACGGGUAGCCGGCCUGAGAGGGUGACCGGCCACAUUGGGACUGAGAUACGGCCCAGACUCCUACGGGAGGCAGCAGUGGGGAAUAUUGCACAAUGGGCGGAAGCCUGAUGCAGCAACGCCGCGUGCGGGAUGACGGCCUUCGGGUUGUAAACCGCUUUCGCCUGUGACGAAGCGUGAGUGACGGUAAUGGGUAAAGAAGCACCGGCUAACUACGUG
This 468-nucleotide ribosomal RNA is filed under the name uncultured bacterium. RNAcentral describes it as "partial 16S ribosomal RNA". It matches the Rfam family "Bacterial small subunit ribosomal RNA", at positions 28 to 507 of the family's 1533-position model. The record is from RNAcentral.